This 467-nucleotide ribosomal RNA is filed under the name uncultured bacterium. RNAcentral's name for it is "partial 16S ribosomal RNA". It matches the Rfam family "Bacterial small subunit ribosomal RNA", at positions 28 to 506 of the family's 1533-position model. The record is from RNAcentral.
GACGAACGCUGGCGGCGUGCUUAACACAUGCAAGUCGAACGGAAAGGCCCUGCUUUUGUGGGGUGAUCGAGUGGCGAACGGGUGAGUAACACGUGAGUAACCUGCCCUUGACUUUGGGAUAACUUCAGGAAACUGGGGCUAAUAUCGGAUAGGAGCUCCUGCUGCAUGGUGGGGGUUGGAAAGUUUCGGCGGUUGGGGAUGAACUCGCGGCUUAUCAGCUUGUUGGUGGGGUAGUGGCUUACCAAGGCUUUGACGGGUAGCCGGCCUGAGAGGGUGACCGGCCACAGUGGGCUUGAGGUACGGCCCAGACUCCUUCUGGGGGCAGCAGUGGGGAAUAGUGCACAAUGGGCGGAGGCCUGAUGCAGCAACGCCGCGUUCGGGAUGACGGCCUUCGGGUUGUAAACCGCUUUCGCCUGUGACGAAGCGUGAGUGACGGUAAUGGGUAAAGAAGCACCGGCUAACUACGU